UUAAGUUAGAAAGGGCGCACGGUGGAUGCCUUGGCACUAGGAGCCGAUGAAGGACGGGACGAACACCGAUAUGCUUCGGGGAGCUGUAAGCAAGCUUUGAUCCGGAGAUUUCCGAAUGGGGAAACCCACCACUCGUAAUGGAGUGGUAUCCAUAUCUGAAUACAUAGGAUAUGAGAAGGCAGACCCGGGGAACUGAAACAUCUAAGUACCCGGAGGAAGAGAAAGCAAAUGCGAUUCCCUGAGUAGCGGCGAGCGAAACGGGACCAGCCCAAACCAAGAGGCUUGCCUCUUGGGGUUGUAGGACACUCUGUACGGAGUUACAAAGGAACGAGGUAGAUGAAGAGGUCUGGAAAGGCCCGCCAUAGGAGGUAACAGCCCUGUAGUCAAAACUUCGUUCUCUCCUGAGUGGAUCCUGAGUACGGCGGAACACGUGAAAUUCCGUCGGAAUCCGGGAGGACCAUCUCCCAAGGCUAAAUACUCCCUAGUGACCGAUAGUGAACCAGUACCGUGAGGGAAAGGUGAAAAGCACCCCGGAAGGGGAGUGAAAGAGAUCCUGAAACCGUGUGCCUACAAGUAGUCAGAGCCCGUUAACGGGUGAUGGCGUGCCUUUUGUAGAAUGAACCGGCGAGUUACGAUCCCGUGCAAGGUUAAGCAGAAGAUGCGGAGCCGCAGCGAAAGCGAGUCUGAAUAGGGCGAAUUGAGUACGUGGUCGUAGACCCGAAACCAGGUGAUCUACCCAUGUCCAGGGUGAAGUUCAGGUAACACUGAAUGGAGGCCCGAACCCACGCACGUUGAAAAGUGCGGGGAUGAGGUGUGGGUAGGGGUGAAAUGCCAAUCGAACCUGGAGAUAGCUGGUUCUCUCCGAAAUAGCUUUAGGGCUAGCCUCAAGGUAAGAGUCUCGGAGGUAGAGCACUGAUUGGACUAGGGGCCCCUACCGGGUUACCGAAUUCAGUCAAACUCCGAAUGCCGAUGACUUAUCCUUGGGAGUCAGACUGCGAGUGAUAAGAUCCGUAGUCGAAAGGGAAACAGCCCAGACCGCCAGCUAAGGUCCCAAAGUAUACGUUAAGUGGAAAAGGAUGUGGAGUUGCUUAGACAACCAGGAUGUUGGCUUAGAAGCAGCCAUCAUUUAAAGAGUGCGUAAUAGCUCACUGGUCGAGUGACUCUGCGCCGAAAAUGUACCGGGGCUAAACGUAUCACCGAAGCUGCGGACUGUUCUUCGAACAGUGGUAGGAGAGCGUUCUAAGGGCUGUGAAGCAAGACCGGAAGGACUUGUGGAGCGCUUAGAAGUGAGAAUGCCGGUAUGAGUAGCGAAAGAGGGGUGAGAAUCCCCUCCACCGAAUGCCUAAGGUUUCCUGAGGAAGGCUCGUCCGCUCAGGGUUAGUCGGGACCUAAGCCGAGGCCGAAAGGCGUAGGCGAUGGAUAACAGGUUGAUAUUCCUGUACCACCUCCUCACCAUUUGAGCAAUGGGGGGACGCAGGAGGAUAGGGUAAGCGCGGUAUUGGAUAUCCGCGUCCAAGCAGUUAGGCUGGGAAAUAGGCAAAUCCGUUUCCCGUGAAGGCUGAGCUGUGAUGGCGAGCGAAUUAUAGUAGCGAAGUUCCUGAUUCCACACUGCCAAGAAAAGCCUCUAGCGAGGUGAGAGGUGCCCGUACCGCAAACCGACACAGGUAGGCGAGGAGAGAAUCCUAAGGUGAUCGAGAGAACUCUCGUUAAGGAACUCGGCAAAAUGACCCCGUAACUUCGGGAGAAGGGGUGCUCUGUUAGGGUGCAAGCCCGAGAGAGCCGCAGUGAAUAGGCCCAGGCGACUGUUUAGCAAAAACACAGGUCUCUGCGAAGCCGUAAGGCGAAGUAUAGGGGCUGACGCCUGCCCGGUGCUGGAAGGUUAAGAGGAGCGCUUAGCGUAAGCGAAGGUGCGAAUUGAAGCCCCAGUAAACGGCGGCCGUAACUAUAACGGUCCUAAGGUAGCGAAAUUCCUUGUCGGGUAAGUUCCGACCCGCACGAAAGGCGCAACGAUCUGGGCACUGUCUCAACGAGAGACUCGGUGAAAUUAUAGUACCUGUGAAGAUGCAGGUUACCCGCGACAGGACGGAAAGACCCCGUGGAGCUUUACUGCAGCCUGAUAUUGAAUGUUGGUACAGCUUGUACAGGAUAGGUAGGAGCCUUGGAAACCGGAGCGCCAGCUUCGGUGGAGGCAUCGGUGGGAUACUACCCUGGCUGUAUUGACCUUCUAACCCGCCGCCCUUAUCGGGCGGGGAGACAGUGUCAGGUGGGCAGUUUGACUGGGGCGGUCGCCUCCUAAAAGGUAACGGAGGCGCCCAAAGGUUCCCUCAGAAUGGUUGGAAAUCAUUCGCAGAGUGUAAAGGCACAAGGGAGCUUGACUGCGAGACCUACAAGUCGAGCAGGGACGAAAGUCGGGCUUAGUGAUCCGGUGGUUCCGCAUGGAAGGGCCAUCGCUCAACGGAUAAAAGCUACCCCGGGGAUAACAGGCUUAUCUCCCCCAAGAGUCCACAUCGACGGGGAGGUUUGGCACCUCGAUGUCGGCUCAUCGCAUCCUGGGGCUGUAGUCGGUCCCAAGGGUUGGGCUGUUCGCCCAUUAAAGCGGUACGCGAGCUGGGUUCAGAACGUCGUGAGACAGUUCGGUCCCUAUCCGUCGCGGGCGCAGGAAAUUUGAGAGGAGCUGUCCUUAGUACGAGAGGACCGGGAUGGACGCACCGCUGGUGUACCAGUUGUUCUGCCAAGGGCAUCGCUGGGUAGCUAUGUGCGGACGGGAUAAGUGCUGAAAGCAUCUAAGCAUGAAGCCCCCCUCAAGAUGAGAUUUCCCAUUCCGCAAGGAAGUAAGAUCCCUGAAAGAUGAUCAGGUUGAUAGGUCUGAGGUGGAAGUGUGGCGACACAUGGAGCUGACAGAUACUAAUCGAUCGAGGACUUAACCAA
RNAcentral lists this ribosomal RNA (2928 nucleotides) under Bacillus amyloliquefaciens. Its description in RNAcentral is "bacterial LSU rRNA". It matches the Rfam family "Bacterial large subunit ribosomal RNA". Lineage: Bacteria; Bacillati; Bacillota; Bacilli; Caryophanales; Bacillaceae. The record is from RNAcentral.